RNAcentral lists this ribosomal RNA (497 nucleotides) under uncultured bacterium. Its description in RNAcentral is "partial 16S ribosomal RNA". It matches the Rfam family "Bacterial small subunit ribosomal RNA", at positions 28 to 507 of the family's 1533-position model. The record is from RNAcentral.
GAUGAACGCUGGCGGCGUGCCUAAUACAUGCAAGUCGAGCGAACAGACGAGGAGCUUGCUCCUCUGACGUUAGCGGCGGACGGGUGAGUAACACGUGGAUAACCUACCUAUAAGACUGGGAUAACUUCGGGAAACCGGAGCUAAUACCGGAUAAUAUAUUGAACCGCAUGGUUCAAUAGUGAAAGACGGUUUUGCUGUCACUUAUAGAUGGAUCCGCGCCGCAUUAGUUAGUUGGUAAGGUAACGGCUUACCAAGGCAACGAUGCGUAGCCGACCUGAAAGGGUGAUCGGCCACACUGGAACUGAGACACGGUCCAGACUCCUACGGGAGGCAGCAGUAGGGAAUCUUCCGCAAUGGGCGAAAGCCUGACGGAGCAACGCCGCGUGAGUGAUGAAGGUCUUCGGAUCGUAAAACUCUGUUAUUAGGGAAGAACAAAUGUGUAAGUAACUAUGCACGUCUUGACGGUACCUAAUCAGAAAGCCACGGCUAACUACGUG